AUGAGAAUGAUGGAUGGAAAAGUUUGGGGCAGUGCCCAGGAAGUGGGGAGUGUUCUUUCGAACCUUGCUUUUGAUGGACGGAAGAGUGUUUUCCCAAUGGACGUGGUUGAUCGACUGAUUCACUAUGAGUUCAGGCCCGAGGCUAGCCGCAUGGUUAUUCUGUUUGCGGAUGGCAUUGAGGCCUCUGACGACCUGCUGAAUUUUGUUGAGUGGUUCUUCAACAAAGAAGGCACCCAGUUCAGUGUCAUUAUCCCCAAUAAAUAUUUCCCAGAAGAGGUGAAAAAUGGUAAAUUUGUGGGUCUAACUAGCAAUGGAAGGCUUAUACCAAUGGUGCAAGGCCGCAACGCCGAGAAGCUUCACCUCCCCAGAGGAAACCUCAUCAGCAUUGUCAAGCAAACAAAUGGUGCGGUAUUCAGCAGAGACUCGCUGUCCGAGUCUCAAGACACUCUUGUUGAAGCUUUCAGUGCUCUGCGAGACGACACACAACAGAAAGGCAGGGAGUGCAAGUGUGAUCGUUCCAACGAUGAAACCAGUCGAGCUUCUUGUUCAGACACUCUCUAGCAGGCUGUAAACUUUCUUCUUCAUAAUACAACCCAAAUUAUCCAUCUCGACUUUUCUAUACACUCUUAUCAAAUAUGAACACCCAGAUAAUGUUGCUUUCCCAAGAAGAUAUUAUGUGUAUACAUCUUUUAUGUAUGCCAUCAGCUAACUUUACUCCAGCAUGACCAACUCACCGCAGAUUAAUGCUUUUCCACAGCUUCACCGCAACUACAAGUUUACUACAUGUCACUGGUUGUUAUAAGUUUACUAUUCGUGUUUAUGGUAGAACAUGCAGAAACUUCAUUCACAGUUGUAAUUAUGCAUUAGAUGUUCUUUUAUUGGAAAGUCAUGAAUAAACUAUAACCCAGCAAUUGUGUUUCAUGGAUAAUGUUAUGUUGGCGUGUCUAAGUGACUGGAAUUUCCUGGGGAAUGACAAAGCUGUCUUUGGCUUUCAUUCAUUACCAAGGCUUAGUAUUGGCUUAAUGGUUAGGGUGGUGGGCUUGGGAUCCCCCUCGGCUGUUGAAUUAAUACCAGAUGGGGGUUGACUCUGCCUGUCAUCCUUCUGAGGUCGGCAAAAUGAGUGCCAGCUUGCUGGUAUCAUGUGUUGGAGUGGUGGCCUGUCCAGGAUUGUGCCCAAAUAGCCAAGGAGACUGCUUCGGCAGCACCAACGUUCUGCAAAGAGUAUGGUCUCGAUGGAUGGAUGGUCUUGAGUUCAAGCCCCUGUCAGGCUGUUGAAUUAACAUCCAGUAAGGUUGACUCAGUCUGUCAUCCUUAUGAGGUUGGCAAAAAUGAGUACCUGGUUACUGGUAAUGGGGGCACAUCAAUGGCACAGCUAUGCCCCCAGAAAAUGAUGCAGCCAAGCAGUCACAGGCUGUAUAAGAAUAAAUAAAUAAAUUCAUUAUCAUGUUAUUUGACCAAACGUUCGGUGGAAAUCAUCAAAUCUGGAUUGCAGAAACUUCCGGAGGGAAACCUAGAUGCAAAGCUGUCUUAUCUCCUGUUAAAAUACUGCAUCACACCACAAGCAACAACCGGUGGUCCAACAGUCACUGUAUCAACAUUGGAGAUUCAGUGUUUGCCCACAACUUUGGCACAGGUGCGACUUGGUUACUGGGAGACAUCAUCGAGAAGUCAGGUCCACUGUUCUACACGAUUCGCCUGCACAACGCCUGCAAAACUUUUCAACAUCAGGACCAUGAGACCGACUGUCACUGUCAGUCGAUUGAGCCUGCAGCAUUAUCACAGCAAGAACAACAGUUCGUCCCACCACUGCUGGAGAUCAUCGUCGUCGCUCCAGUUGGCUCUGAUACCCCGAAAACUGUGAAUGCUCCACCGUCGUGGAGAUAGAAAUAAUUUCUCGGUAUCCACUGUUCCUCCAUGAUGCUCAAUGCAUGAGAGAAAAGCACGCGACCGUUUGAAUGUUUGAAGUUGUUUUGUGUUUUUUUUUUCUCCCUGUCUGUCUUUGCGUUGACACAUACAGGGGCAGAAUAAUCCUCGUGUGUGCUUAUACUGACCAUGACAGUCUACCCGAAGUCCACUUGGUUUCAUUUGCACACACAUAGUGGUACAUUUUUUUUUGGAAAUAUUGCUGUUGGUAAUUUCUGAUUUAAAUGGGACGAUGUCAUACUGUAUAUGGACGUUCAAACGUUCCCCUGUUUUAUCCUGACACUGGGACUGAGGGUCUUCUUCAUUUUCUGGGGGUUACGAGGGAGUUCCGACGGUGUGGAUGUGAAACGUGCUUGUAUCCUGAGGGUCAAAAAUGUUUGACAAUCAAUCAAUGUCUGUCGACUGCCAUUACAGAUCCCAUCUGCUAGCACUUGCUUGUAGAUGUUAAAGAUCCACCAAUAUAUUUUGAGGAAGGUAGACCAUUGUGUCGCAGGUCGUCUGGCCAAAUGUUAUAAUUCCUACUUGAACCUACGAGUACACUAUACAGUAUUUGUGUCAAAAUGUACAGGUAAGCAAGUCUGCG
RNAcentral lists this long non-coding RNA (2506 nucleotides) under Eptatretus burgeri (inshore hagfish). Its description in RNAcentral is "lncRNA (ENSEBUG00000017420.1)". The record is from RNAcentral. Lineage: Eukaryota; Metazoa; Chordata; Myxini; Myxiniformes; Myxinidae.